Molecule: long non-coding RNA, 1290 nt
Filed under: Nicotiana tabacum (common tobacco)
Lineage: Eukaryota; Viridiplantae; Streptophyta; Magnoliopsida; Solanales; Solanaceae
Description: long non-coding RNA (NTAB_LNC007775)
Source: RNAcentral
AAACGGUUCAUUAUUUGGACUCUCCUACGACAAGAUAUGAAUCAUUUGUUACAAGCACGUAAAGCUGAAAUUUAUGCAACUAAGAUAAAAGUCGAACAAUGUAAAGCAAAAGAGAAGCUAAAAUAUUUAAACCCUCGAAGUCUCCAUGUUGAAGUCUUCAAGUGUAUUCAAGUUGAAGUCCCCAAGUUGAAACCUUCAAGUCCGUCGCUCUUCAAGUUGAAAUCUUCAAAUUCGCUGAUCGUCAAGUUGAAAUAUUUAGGCCCUCCAAGUCUCAAAGUUGAAGUCUUCAAGUUCGUCGGUCUUCAAGUUUCAGUCUUCAAAUUCGUCGGUCUUAAAGUUGAAUUGUUUAAGCCCUCCAAAUCUUCGAGUUGAAGUCUGCAAAGUCCGCCAAAUCUUCAAAGUUUUCCAAGUGUUCAAGUCGAUGUCAUCUUUGAGUUGAAGCUUUAUAACUUUCCAAUCUUAAGGUGGACAUAUAAGUCCCUUUCCACCUUAAGUUGGCCUCGCCGAUAGUCGAGCCACAUUGCGAGUAAUCUCUCUAAUAGUCAGGACACAUUGAGAGUAAUCUCUCCCAUAAUCGGGUCGUUUUGAGAGUAAUCUCUCCGAUAGUCAAGCCACAUUCUGUGGACAUAUAAGUUUUCUAAUCUUAAGAUGGACAUAUAAGUCCCUUUGCACCUUAAGUUGGCCUCACCGAUAGUCGAGCCACAUUGAAAGUAAUCUCUCCGAUAGUCAGGCCAUAUUGAGAGUAAUCUCUUAGAUAGUCGGGUCAUUUUGAGAGUAAUCUCUCCUAUAGUCAAGCCACAUUCUGUGGACAUAUAAGUCUUCCAACCUUAAGGUGGACAUAUAAGUCCCUUUGCACCUUAAGUUGGCCUCUCGAGGGUUUGUCCUUAAAAGGAACUAUAACUUUCCAAUCUUAAGGUGGACAUAUGAGUCCCUUUGCACCUUAAGUUGGCCUCGCCGAUAGUCGAGCCAUAUUGAGAGUAAUCUCUCUAAUAGUCAGGCCACAUUGAGAGUAAUUUCUCCGAUAGUCGGGCCACAUUGAGAUUAAUCUCUCCGAUAAUCGGGCAAUUAAGAGUAAUCUCUCCGAUAUUUGGGCAGGGAUGAGUAAAUACCCUAAGAACGCCUUCUUCAUGUGUAGAUCAUUUUGUUGAACAAGAGCAUAUCUUUCUCGCCUGACCUAUAAAAAAAGGUAAAAAGACAACAAAGGAAAAAAAACACAAGAAAAGAAGAAGAAAUUACCUUCACAUUAAUGCUUCUGAGUCCGCAAAAGUAGACUCAGUAUGACUUACGAAU